Molecule: long non-coding RNA, 378 nt
Filed under: Gossypium raimondii (Peruvian cotton)
Lineage: Eukaryota; Viridiplantae; Streptophyta; Magnoliopsida; Malvales; Malvaceae
Description: long non-coding RNA (GRAI_LNC001795)
Source: RNAcentral
UCCUCGUCAUUAAAUUAAUGUGUUUGCUCGCGGUAAUUGUGGCCUCUCGGGAGAAUCGAUGACUGCAUCUUUGAGGCAUUUGCUAGUACUAGUCCAUCUGAGAAUUCUUAAUUGGCUAGUUGUAAAUAGCCCCGGUGUAUUGGCCCAAUUUUACCCAGGCCCAGUGCCAAAUUAAACCAAAUGUCCCAAACCCAAAAUAACAGGCCCAAAAAAAGUAAAAAACCAGCAACCCAAAAACCCUAACCCAUUUUCAGAAAAAAAAAACAAAAAAGAAAACCUAACCCUAGGUGCACCGCACCUAGGGUCUUCUGAACCCUGGCCACUGCACGUCUGCCACCGCCACUGCUACGCCGUACCUGCCACCACAUGCUUCACCCC